This is a long non-coding RNA of Hemibagrus wyckioides, 1839 nucleotides long. RefSeq lists it as uncharacterized. The record is from RefSeq and is a predicted model, not a curated record. Lineage: Eukaryota; Metazoa; Chordata; Actinopteri; Siluriformes; Bagridae. The transcript is spliced from 5 exons.
UCCUAAGUAAACUAAAUAUAAACAAACAAACAUACAUGAUUAACUCCCUCUAAAAUGGGAGUUUUCAAUACCAACAGAAUCUAAUAGCAAUCAUUAUCAGGAAAUUUACCCUGAACAGACUGGACAUCACAGAAACAGAGUCAAACUGGUCAGUAAAAACUCUCCAGGAAACCUCUCUCUACUCCUAUCAGACCUGACUGAAGAGGACCAGGGAAACUACAGAUGUUCUGUACAGGCAGAGAGAAAAGAUUUCAGACUAAAUGUUAAAGUCUUAAGACCUACAUCAGAACAGCCUCAGAAUACAACAAACUCUCCAUCUGCAUCACCCUCAACAACACUGGAACAAGUAUUCGUUUUUAUGGCUGUUUUUCUUUUGGUCAUAGUCGGAGUAGUGGCCUUUAUUUGUCGGAGAUACAAAGGAGGACAAUGUGAAGAGAAGGUGACUACUGAAGGAUGUCUGGACUAUAAGCUGGAGAAUCAGGUUAUGUCUGAUGCCACUUUAUUUACUACUGUCAUUUACACCUGCUACUCUACUGACCCACAUUAACGCAGCCGGAGCAACACGGGUCCAGAUGAUCACUGGAGAGCAUCAUUACAAACUAAUCCAAUGGAAAUAUAGACACAUUCUCAGAUAUUAUAGAAUUAUGUUGAAAACAUAUAUUAAAUAUACACCAUGGUCAAGCAUGGGAUUCGCAAUAUUUACGAUUUUUAUACAUUUUAAAAUAAUAUAGCUGAUUCUGUUGUUCUGCAUUCGAUUUUAAUCUGUACAAAAAUUGCUGAUAAAUAAUUUUGCUAAUUAUAUUUUAAUAGUCUUUGUCAUUUUGUAUCUGAUGUGUAACAUUGUUAUAUCAGGUUAAGAAACAAUUGCUCUAGAAAAGCUUUUGCCAUCAUGCUGUUGUGUAAGAAGACUGCUAUAGAAGUUCCUCUUCUUGUCUUUUAAAGAUCUUGGGUAAAAAAGAGGAUUAUUGAAUUUUACUGGACUAAAUGUGUAUUUCUAACCUAGAAAUUAUGCAUAAUGUCUUUAUAAUUUGUUAUAAAUGUGUUAAAAAUGAAUACAUUAUUGAUGGAAAAAAAAUAAAGGAUAAAAAAGUAAAUUAAUGGAAGAUAAACAUCACAGUAAAUUGUCCUGUUUACUUCAGCAGAAUGUUAGUUAUAAAGGACUUUUAACAGAAAACAUUCUCAAAUACAGCUUUACAACUUUACCCAAAAGUUGUAAAGAGUAAGCGUGGCUAUGUGAAGGAAUAUAAUAUUAUCCUGUUCAUGAAUUAGAGACACUAGGCCUUCUUUCUUUUUUUCUGCAGAAAUCUGGACAUAGCUUUAUCAUAUAUAUGGUUAUAUGUAUUAUAUAAUAGUAGUGAUUUGUGUGUGUGUGUGUGUGUGAGAUGGAAAGCCCUUGUUAAAUGAGGAACAGGAAUGCAACAGCUUUGUUAGCCCUUGUUAACUUUAUUAACCCUUGUUAGAUUUGCUAGCCUUUGUUGGCCCUUCUAGCCUUGUUAACCUUUGUUGACCUUGCUAAUUUGUGUUAGCUGUUGUGUUUGUUUGUUCUCCUUGUUAAUUGUUGUCCCUUUUGGCCUUGCUAGCCACUCCCUUUAACCUUAGCUCAUUUGGUUUGAGAACAGGCAAGACUGUACGUGCCCCUACAUUGCACCACGUAGGAAUUUGAUUGUACAGACACCUGAAGUAAUGGGGCAGGUGCCACCCACUUUUAGCCUAGUUUAGUUUAGCCUAGGGUAGCCAGUUAGUUUUCUUUGCUGUUGUUAGUUAGAUUAGUCAACUAAAACAGAGCCUUUUUUUUUUUUUUUGGCACUGCCCAUGUUGUCCUACAAUUGUGAGACUAGC